This 497-nucleotide ribosomal RNA is filed under the name uncultured bacterium. RNAcentral describes it as "partial 16S ribosomal RNA". It matches the Rfam family "Bacterial small subunit ribosomal RNA", at positions 28 to 507 of the family's 1533-position model. The record is from RNAcentral.
GAUGAACGCUGGCGGCGUGCCUAAUACAUGCAAGUCGAGCGAACGGACGAGAAGCUUUCUUCUCUGAUGUUAGCGGCGGACGGGUGAGUAACACGUGGAUACCCGACCUAUAAGACUGGGAUAACUUCGGGAAACCGGAGCUAAUACCGGAUGAUAUUUUGAACCGCAUGGUUCAUAAGUGAACGCCGGUCUUGCUGUCACUUAUAGAUGGUUCCGCGCUGCAUUAGCUAGUUGGUAAGGUAACGGCCUACCAAGGCAACGAUGCAUAGCCGACCUGAGAGGGUGAUCGGCCACACUGGAACUGAGACACGGUCCAGACUCCUACGGGAGGCAGCAGUAGGGAAUCUUCCGCAAUGGGCGAAAGCCUGACGGAGCAACGCCGCGUGAGUGAUGAAGGUCUUCGGAUCGUAAAACUCUGUUAUUAGGGAAGAACAUAUGUGUAAGUAACUGUGCACAUCUUGACGGUACCUAAUCAGAAAGCCACGGCUAACUACGUG